This 64-nucleotide transfer RNA is filed under the name Venustaconcha ellipsiformis. Its description in RNAcentral is "tRNA-Gly". Lineage: Eukaryota; Metazoa; Mollusca; Bivalvia; Unionida; Unionidae. The record is from RNAcentral.
AUGCUGAGAGUAUUACCUAGUACAAUUGCCUUCCAAGCACAUAAGUCCUGAAAAGGUCAGCAUA